CCUACGGGUGGCAGCAGUGGGGAAUAUUGCACAAUGGGGGAAACCCUGAUGCAGCGACGCCGCGUGAGUGAAGAAGUAUUUCGUUAUGUAAAGCUCUAUCAGCAGGGAAGAAAAUGAUGGCACUAGAGUAAGAAGCCCCGGCUAAUUACUUGCAAGCAGCCGCGGUAAUACGGCGGAUGCAAGCGUUAUCCGGAUUUAUUGGGUUUAAAGGGUGCGGAGGCGGUGAGGUAAGUCAGCGGGGAAAUGCCCCGGCUCAACGGGGUGAAGUGCCAUUGAUACUGGAUUGCUGGAGUGCGGGUGCGGUAAGAGGAAUGUGUGGUGUAGCGGUGAAAUGCGUAGAUAUCACGCAGAACACCAGUUGCGAAGGCAUCUCACGGGUCCGCGAUUGACGCUGAUGCACGAAAGCGUGGGUAUCAAACAGGAUUAGAUACCCGGGUAGUC
RNAcentral lists this ribosomal RNA (441 nucleotides) under uncultured bacterium. RNAcentral describes it as "partial 16S ribosomal RNA". It matches the Rfam family "Bacterial small subunit ribosomal RNA", at positions 338 to 795 of the family's 1533-position model. The record is from RNAcentral.